AACGAACGCUGGCGGCGUGCUUAACACAUGCAAGUCGAACGGCAGGACACUGCGUGCGUGCGGUGCUCGAGUGCCGAACGGGUGAGGAUCACGUAAGUAACCUGACCUUCACUUUGGUAUAGGUUCAGGAAGCUAGGGCUACUACAGGACAGGAGCCGAUGUAGCAUUGUGAGGAUGGGAACGUUUCAGCGGUCGGGGAUGAAUUAGCGGCUGUUCAGCUAGUUGGUGGGGUAAAGGCCCACCAAGGCGACGAUGGGUAGCUGGCCUGAGAGGAUGAUCAGCCACACUGGAACUGAGACACGGUCCAGACUCCUACGGGAGGCAGCAGUGGGGAAUAUUGGACAAUGGGCGCAAGCCUGAUCCAGCCAUACCGCGUGGGUGAAGAAGGCCUUCGGGUUGUAAAGCCCUUUUGUUGGGAAAGAAAAGCAGCAGGUUAAUACCCCGCUGUUCUGACGGUACCCAAAGAAUAAGCACCGGCUAACUUCGUG
Molecule: ribosomal RNA, 488 nt
Filed under: uncultured bacterium
Lineage: Bacteria
Description: partial 16S ribosomal RNA
Rfam family: Bacterial small subunit ribosomal RNA
Source: RNAcentral